Molecule: long non-coding RNA, 1501 nt
Filed under: Triticum aestivum (bread wheat)
Lineage: Eukaryota; Viridiplantae; Streptophyta; Magnoliopsida; Poales; Poaceae
Description: long non-coding RNA (TAES_LNC001790)
Source: RNAcentral
UCCUUUAACUUUGUUAUAUUCAAAUCAUACUUUCAUUAUUUCUUGCAGUAUAAGUUCAAAAUUAUGGCGUGAGACAUGGGGAUGCAAUUAAACUCAAUGGAGAAGGAAACCUGGAAAGGGAUGAACAGAGUAAUUAGUCUGUGUGAUGCCAUUAACCUUGACAACAAUGAACUUAUGGGACUUGGAAUGAUACUAGAUGAAGAGGUCAGUUUAUUGGUAAAUUUUAUGAUCUGCAAAUAGUAGAUGAUACUAUGAGUUAUAUAGUAGCUAUUAUAAAUCUAGAGGUAUCUUCUCAGUGCAUUAUAUAACACUAUAUUGGCUUAGCUGCGUGUGUAACUGUAUGAUGUUAUUAAUUCGUGCAAGUAUCAUUCAAUCCAAAAUUGGCUUGACCGCCGUUGCAGUUGGCCACCGUCGUGAUGGUGGGUUCAUAACGCUGCUACUUCUUGGGUGGAACGUCGUCGCUUCACGGCUGGUCGAAAUACAGCGCCAAUGCAAAGGCAGGUUUAGCCAGCCCUGAAGUUCUGCAUCUAUGCAUACAUGUGAUGGCUUUCUAGGGCGUCACGUACAUAUAUGGUUUCUAGAUCAGAGUCUAUUGUUUUGAUUUUUUGUUUUUCCUUUUUAUGUUUUCCCAUUGUACUGAUUUUGAGUUUAUUUGAUACGAAUUAUAUGGUUAAUUUAGGUGAACAGAAUAUUUUGUUUGGUUUUCAGGCAAGUCAAUUCAGUUCGUUUUGAGUAAGUCUUCAACACUGACUGUUUCGCAUUUUCUACUUAUAUGUGGAUUGUGUUUCUCACAUUCGGUGCUAUGUUUGAAUCUUUCAUAAUUUUGUGUUUCUUUAAGAGUUCCAACAGAUUCAUUUUUUGUUUCACGUUCUAACCGUCAAUGUGCACUUGAUUUUUGCUCUCCAGGGUUAUAAUUUGAAUUAUGUUGUUCUCCAUGUUUCCAGUUAUUUCUUUGAAGGGAGGUCAAUCGAUUGGUGAGGUCAUCAACGGCUGUCUAUGGUUGUCUCUAGGUAUCAAAAAUUAUUUCUCGGGCUAUUGUGGACACAGGUUAUUGUCUGCAACUACUCAUGUUACAGGCAAUGCUGCCAGAAAAUGUUCUAAUGUCAUGGACACUGUUCACAUGCAGCUGUAGAAUUUAUGUCUAAGGACCUUAUCCACACAAGGAUACUAUUGAACCUUCUUUGACAGUUGGAGACUGAGAUCGAGCAGAAGUAUGGCAACCAUGUCGUGUGGAAAAGGGCCCAUGAACUAGCAUGUCAUCAUGUCACCGUGUCAGACAAUACAUUGCGUAAUGCAUGAGAGGCUCAUAUUAAGCUUGGCCAUCUUCUCUUGAUUUUUUUUCAAUCAGAUUGUCGUACUAGGGAAUUUGCACUGCUUACAAGUAAGGAUCGGCCUUCACCUCACUCUAUGCAUUGUAACAUUGUUAUUUAAUUUAGGUUAAAGUUAUGAUAAAUGCAUGCCUGAUUUAGAGAUGAGAUGACUACUUUAAGUUCGGUUCAAG